Molecule: long non-coding RNA, 978 nt
Organism: Bactrocera latifrons
Lineage: Eukaryota; Metazoa; Arthropoda; Insecta; Diptera; Tephritidae
Exons: 3
Source: RefSeq, a predicted model, not a curated record
UGCUGAAGUACGGUUCAUCGUUCGUUCGGCACAUUUUAUUUUGACCGCAGUAAACAGCUGAUAAUCCGUCAUUUGACAGAAAUGCAAAAUCUGUGCUUGCUAAUUUGGUGGAAAAGGUUACAAAAUCGAAAAGGAAGGGGAGGAAGCUGCGGUGUGCUCAAAAUGCUUUUGAAGCGGCCGAAAGAGGGCAUUUUACCCUACUUAUUCCAAAAAUUCGAUUGAAUGAUGUGAAAACGUUCAUAAAUUUCCACUGCAUGGACCCCAACACUUUCGAAGAACUUCUUUACAUAUUGGGCCCCAGUAUGAGGAACACACCGAAUAAAAGCGUUUCCGAACCACAAUUCACYGACACACAACUAUAAACAUACGCAUAGUAUAAUUUUAAUGGCAGUGGCUGAUGCCAAUUACAAAUUUAUUAUGGUGGACAUAGGAGCAUUGGGACAUAACAGCGACGGCGGUGUAUUUAAAAGUUGUAGGUUUGGAUACAAAAUUUUCCAUCAUCUAGCAGAUUUGAAAAUUGAUGAGGGAAAACUGCUUCCCAACUCAAAUUAAGUUGCUCCAUUUGUUUUUCUAGCGGAUGAGGCUUUUUCUUUGCGGAGAAACAUUAUGCGUCCAUAUCCAGGUCGGAAUAUCAUGAAUUUACCACAAGAAGAAGGUAUUUUCAACAAGCAUCUGUCUAGAGCGCGAAGAGUUGUUGAAAACGCAUUUGGUAUUAUGGCCAGUCGCUUUCGGAUAUUCCGGAAACCAAUUAUAGCAAGCAAGCAAAUCGCAAGAAAUAUUGUGCAGGCCACCGGUUGCCCGCAUAAUUGGCUUCGUGAAAAAUCAGCACCGGAUGAUGUAUGUGUACACUUACAAAACAUACAACGCGAAGAGAAACCCAUUUUGCAAAGUUUUCUGCAACCAGUGAUGUCUUCUCACAGUAACCAUGCAUCUCAAGAUGCUAUUGCAGUAAGGAGAAUGUAUACAAAUUAUUUCAAA